This 490-nucleotide ribosomal RNA is filed under the name uncultured bacterium. RNAcentral describes it as "bacterial SSU rRNA". It matches the Rfam family "Bacterial small subunit ribosomal RNA", at positions 30 to 507 of the family's 1533-position model. The record is from RNAcentral.
AUUGAACGCUGGCGGCAGGCCUAACACAUGCAAGUCGAACGGUAACAGGAAGCAGCUUGCUGCUUCGCUGACGAGUGGCGGACGGGUGAGUAAUGUCUGGGAAACUGCCUGAUGGAGGGGGAUAACUACUGGAAACGGUAGCUAAUACCGCAUAACGUCGCAAGACCAAAGAGGGGGACCUUCGGGCCUCUUGCCAUCGGAUGUGCCCAGAUGGGAUUAGCUAGUAGGUGGGGUAACGGCUCACCUAGGCGACGAUCCCUAGCUGGUCUGAGAGGAUGACCAGCCACACUGGAACUGAGACACGGUCCAGACUCCUACGGGAGGCAGCAGUGGGGAAUAUUGCACAAUGGGCGCAAGCCUGAUGCAGCCAUGCCGCGUGUAUGAAGAAGGCCUUCGGGUUGUAAAGUACUUUCAGCGGGGAGGAAGGGAGUAAAGUUAAUACCUUUGCUCAUUGACGUUACCCGCAGAAGAAGCACCGGCUAACUCCGUG